AUUUUUUUUGGUGAAGCUUUCUUCUGUGAACUUAGAAUCUUCUGAUAUAGGUUGAACAACUCCAGCUCUCUCUGCCUUUUCUCCUAAGAGCACUGCUCCAGCCCUUUUGAUUAUUCCUGUGGGCCUUCUCUAGUCCUGUUCCAAUGGGUUCAUGUACUGCUGGAGCUGUAGGCUCCUGAGCUUCUGCUGCAGUACUGCAGGUGGGAUCUCAAAAAAGCAAAGAGGGAGAAUCAUCUCCCUCAACCUGUUAGCCACGUUAUUUGACACAGGCCAGGAUGCGGUUGUUUUUCAAUAUUGCUAGUAUAAAAAAAACUAAGACCCCUCCUGAGUCACCUAGUGAAUUUCAAGAGAAGUUGCUCAAGUGGAAAUCUGGUUUCUUAUGCAAUAGCAAGAGCGAGAGGGAGGAAGGCGUGGAAGAUGUCUCACCAGGUCAGGCGAGUGGACUUUAGGACUCUACUCCAAUGCCUCAGAGAGGAACAGGUUUCUCAUGCUCAGUCUGACUACUUCUUGCUUCAGUUCAUUUGCUGUGACUCUUAUUCUCCUGCCAUACAUUGCUCUGGCUCUAACUUCUUAAGAGCAUCCCUGCAGGUCCGUGGUUGGGGCUGCUGUUAAGAACUCGUGAGCUCUUCCUUAUCCACACCAAAUAAGCCCCAGUUUCUUAGCCUCUCCUUCCAAACUACUUCCUACAGGUGCUCAUAGUACCUUUCUACAACUCCUCUGUUUAGAAGUAAUGAACAACAUUAAUUGAAAAUGUGUAGAGUUGGGAUUUGUAUUUCAUUAACUGUUCUAUGAAAGAACAAUCAUCUCUGUGUAAUCUGAAUGAGGUACAGCCAGCAAACCAUGCACUGGCUUUAACAGCAUUUCCAGGUGCUGUUCUAUUUCUUCAGCAACACAAUAAUCUUGUUUCUGUGAUGCAGUGAUGUUCAACUGUGCUGAUUCAAUAGCAUUUCUAUUAAUAGCCAGGUAAUCUAAUCUACUCGUGGAUAAAAAUAACUCAUUUUCAGAUGUAAUAUGAAAGGGGCAGAAUGAAAUCUCCACCCUUUGUGUCCUAGCUGCCGCUGCUGUUCUUUCUGUGUGCUUUUAGGGCCAUUUAUGAGUGCUGUUUGAAAAUAUAUUGGCUAAAAAGCAAAUGGGUUGACUGUGUACAGCUUUACUUGAUGAUCACCAGCUGGCAGUUUUUGUGCUAUUUGUUACUGCUCCUGUUCAGUUACCCAAAGAUUCAGUGAUUCAAACUAGGAAAGUAGUAUGAAGGGGGUUGAUGCAGUCUCAUAACUUCUACUUUCCAAAAAACUAUCUCUUUUUUUUGUUUAAUGGAUGGUGUGAAUUGCAC
This is a long non-coding RNA of Lagopus muta (rock ptarmigan), 1330 nucleotides long. RefSeq lists it as uncharacterized. Lineage: Eukaryota; Metazoa; Chordata; Aves; Galliformes; Phasianidae. The transcript is spliced from 3 exons. The record is from RefSeq and is a predicted model, not a curated record.